AGACAGCAGUAGCCGCGGUAAUACGUAGGGUGCAAGCGUUAAUCGGAAUUACUGGGCGUAAAGCGUGCGCAGGCGGUUUUGUAAGACAGAGGUGAAAUCCCCGGGCUCAACCUGGGAACUGCCUUUGUGACUGCAAGGCUAGAGUACGGCAGAGGGGGAUGGAAUUCCGCGUGUAGCAGUGAAAUGCGUAGAUAUGCGGAGGAACACCGAUGGCGAAGGCAAUCCCCUGGGCCUGUACUGACGCUCAUGCACGAAAGCGUGGGGAGCAAACAGGAUUAGAUACCCCCGUAGUCCCUGUCUCUUAUAC
RNAcentral lists this ribosomal RNA (307 nucleotides) under uncultured bacterium. RNAcentral's name for it is "partial 16S ribosomal RNA". It matches the Rfam family "Bacterial small subunit ribosomal RNA", at positions 506 to 807 of the family's 1533-position model. The record is from RNAcentral.